This is a long non-coding RNA of Perca fluviatilis (European perch), 700 nucleotides long. RefSeq lists it as uncharacterized. The transcript has 7 exons. NCBI's taxonomy places the organism in Eukaryota, Metazoa, Chordata, Actinopteri, Perciformes, Percidae. The record is from RefSeq and is a predicted model, not a curated record.
CAAAUAUUUAAAAAAAAGUGGUGACGGUGAAGCUGGAACUGUCAACGUAGAGCAAGUGACAGCUGAGCCUUCACAUCAUCAGCAGCAGCAGCAGCAGUAGCGAAUAUAAUCCACGGAGGUUUUAUAUCGAUAUGUACGCCGUUUUAAUCACUGUUCUGUCGUCUAAGAAGCUGGUAAACUUAUCAAAAGUAAGUAGUAAAUGAAAGAUUACGGUGUCUUUAGCGAAGGCUCCAUCAGGUAAAUACCUGACGCACAAUAAAUGUUACCAUUACAGUCAUCUCGUGGCGAUGGAGAGGGGGAUGCUUAAUCUCUCUCAGUCUAAAUUUGACACUGAACUAAGGCCAGCAGCAGCAGUCUAAAGAGCCACGGCUGUGUCUCCACCAACAGCACACAGGACAGAGCCAACAGCGACGGUUUCCAGACCUGCCGAGCCUGAUGACUCCUCUGGGAUUGUUGCUUCUGUGAAAGCCAGGCUGAAGGCCCCGCUGCCAGCCCCUUCUAGCUCCUCAGCUCAGAUGAUAUGUGGACUUCAGCAUGUGGAGCCAGGCUGUCGUCAUGUUGUGUUAAAUUGUGACAAGCACAGGGUACAACCCAACAUCCCAGCUGCUGUAGCUAUGGAGACCGAGGAUCACUGCCCUGCUGCUGUGGUGGCCACAGACUCUCAGGAGACCAGUGAAGAUCCAGUUGGAGUGGUGCUGAA